UGGCGGGGGAUAACUACUGGAAACAGGUGCUAAUACCGCAUAACAGUUUAUGCCGCAUGGCAUAAGAGUGAAAGGCGCUUUCGGGUGUCGCUGAUGGAUGGACCCGCGGUGCAUUAGCUAGUUGGUGAGGUAACGGCUCACCAAGGCCACGAUGCAUAGCCGACCUGAGAGGGUGAUCGGCCACACUGGGACUGAGACACGGCCCAG
Molecule: ribosomal RNA, 207 nt
Filed under: uncultured bacterium
Lineage: Bacteria
Description: partial 16S ribosomal RNA
Rfam family: Bacterial small subunit ribosomal RNA
Source: RNAcentral